RNAcentral lists this transfer RNA (67 nucleotides) under Discolomatinae sp. GENSP01. RNAcentral describes it as "tRNA-Asp". It matches the Rfam family "tRNA". Rfam says of the family: Transfer RNA (tRNA) molecules are approximately 80 nucleotides in length. Lineage: Eukaryota; Metazoa; Arthropoda; Insecta; Coleoptera; Discolomatidae. The record is from RNAcentral.
AAAAAUUUAGUUAAAAUAUAACAUUAGUCUGUCACACUAAAAUUAUAAUUUAAAUUUAUAAUUUUUU